GAUGAACGCUGGCGGCGUGCCUAAUACAUGCAAGUCGAACGGACAGACGAUACAGUUGCUUGCUUCACGUUAGAGUGGGAGGGGGGAGUGAAAUGUGGAGAAACCAGCUACAUGACUGGGAGAACUUAGUGAAACCGGAACAAAAUACCGAAUACCGUAUCAACAUCAUUGUUGAAAAGUGAAAGACGGACUGGCUGCAUCUUAGAGCUGGAUCAGUGAUGUAUUAGCUAGUAGGUAAGGUAACGGCUCACCUAGGCCACGAUGCAUAGCCGACCUGAGAGGGUGAUCGGCCACACUGGAACUGAGACACGGUCCAGACUCCUACGGGAGGCAGCAGUAGGGAAUCUUCCGCAAUGGGCGAAAGCCUGACGGAGCAACGCCGCGUGAGUGAAGAAGGUCUUCGGAUCGUAAAGCUCUGUUAUAAGGGAAGAACGGAUGUGAGAGUAAAUAUUUCCAACUUGACGGUACCCAAACAAGAAGCCACGGCUAACUCCGUG
This 497-nucleotide ribosomal RNA is filed under the name uncultured bacterium. RNAcentral's name for it is "partial 16S ribosomal RNA". It matches the Rfam family "Bacterial small subunit ribosomal RNA", at positions 28 to 507 of the family's 1533-position model. The record is from RNAcentral.